ACACUGGUGAGGAGUCCCACAAUAGGACGAAACGGCCGUCAAGUAC
RNAcentral lists this non-coding RNA (46 nucleotides) under Schistosoma mansoni. Lineage: Eukaryota; Metazoa; Platyhelminthes; Trematoda; Strigeidida; Schistosomatidae. The record is from RNAcentral.